This 869-nucleotide ribosomal RNA is filed under the name Bacteroidota bacterium. Its description in RNAcentral is "bacterial SSU rRNA". It matches the Rfam family "Bacterial small subunit ribosomal RNA", at positions 1 to 866 of the family's 1533-position model. The record is from RNAcentral. Lineage: Bacteria; Pseudomonadati; Bacteroidota.
ACAAUGGAGAGUUUGAUCCUGGCUCAGGAUGAACGCUAGCGGCAGGCUUAAUACAUGCAAGUCGUGGGGCAGCAGGGGUAGCAAUACCCGCUGGCGACCGGCAAACGGGUGCGGAACACGUACGCAACCUUCCUUUAACUGGAGAAUAGCCCCUCGAAAGAGGGAUUAAUACUCCGUAACAUAUUGAUAAGGCAUCUUAUUAAUAUUAUAGCCUUCGGGCGGUUAAAGAUGGGCGUGCGCCUGAUUAGAUAGUUGGCGGGGUAAUGGCCCACCAAGUCUGCGAUCAGUAACUGGUGUGAGAGCACGACCAGUCACACGGGCACUGAGACACGGGCCCGACUCCUACGGGAGGCAGCAGUAAGGAAUAUUGGUCAAUGGACGCAAGUCUGAACCAGCCAUGCCGCGUGGAGGAUUAAGGCCCUCUGGGUUGUAAACUCCUUUUAUCUGGGAAGAAAUGCCAUUUUUCUAAAUGGUUUGACGGUACCAGAGGAAUAAGCACCGGCUAACUCCGUGCCAGCAGCCGCGGUAAUACGGAGGGUGCAAGCGUUAUCCGGAUUCACUGGGUUUAAAGGGUGCGUAGGCGGGCAGGUAAGUCCGUGGUGAAAUCUCUGAGCUUAACUCAGAAACUGCCAUGGAUACUAUUUGUCUUGAAUACUGUGGAGGUAAGCGGAAUAUGUCAUGUAGCGGUGAAAUGCUUAGAUAUGACAUGGAACACCAAUUGCGAAGGCAGCUUACUACACAGUUAUUGACGCUGAGGCACGAAAGCGUGGGGAUCAAACAGGAUUAGAUACCCUGGUAGUCCACGCCCUAAACGAUGAUUACUCGACAUCAGCGAUACACUGUUGGUGUCUGAGCGAAAGCAUUAAGUA